CUCUGAUAUGGAAGGCCAAGAUCAUUUCCUCACGUGAUCUCAAAGGACCCCGCCCUAACAGGAUGGCGAUUUAAAGAGAAAGUCCUUGAAGACAAGAAACCCGGCCAGUGAGAUUAUUGAAAAAGUUGUAAUGUUACUUGGAUGUAUGAGGAAUCUGGACCUCACUGUAGCCUGCUGUGUAAGUGUGUAGCCUGCUGCCCGGCGACUAUCUAUGCUGGCACUCAGUGAAAACUACUUCAACUAAG
Molecule: long non-coding RNA, 245 nt
Filed under: Amphimedon queenslandica
Lineage: Eukaryota; Metazoa; Porifera; Demospongiae; Haplosclerida; Niphatidae
Description: uncharacterized LOC109593822, transcript variant X2
Source: RNAcentral